AGGACGAACGCUGGCGGCGUGCUUAACACAUGCAAGUCGAACGGAAAGGCCCUGCUUUGUGGGGUGCUCGAGUGGCGAACGGGUGAGUAACACGUGAGUAACCUGCCCUUGACUUUGGGAUAACUUCAGGAAACUGGGGCUAAUACCGGAUAGGAGCUCCUGCUGCAUGGUGGGGGUUGGAAAGUUUCGGCGGUUGGGGAUGGACUCGCGGCUUAUCAGCUUGUUGGUGGGGUAGUGGCUUACCAAGGCUUUGACGGGUAGCCGGCCUGAGAGGGUGACCGGCCACAUUGGGACUGAGAUACGGCCCAGACUCCUACGGGAGGCAGCAGUGGGGAAUAUUGCACAAUGGGCGGAAGCCUGAUGCAAGCAACGCCGCGUGCGGGAUGACGGCCUUCGGGUUGUAAACCGCUUUCGCCUGUGACGAAGCGUGAGUGACGGUAAUGGGUAAAGAAGCACCGGCUAACUACGUGCCAGCAGCCGC
This 481-nucleotide ribosomal RNA is filed under the name uncultured bacterium. RNAcentral describes it as "bacterial SSU rRNA". It matches the Rfam family "Bacterial small subunit ribosomal RNA", at positions 26 to 518 of the family's 1533-position model. The record is from RNAcentral.